Molecule: unclassified non-coding RNA, 89 nt
Filed under: Crithidia fasciculata
Lineage: Eukaryota; Euglenozoa; Kinetoplastea; Trypanosomatida; Trypanosomatidae
Source: RNAcentral
ACCUUGACGUUAGAAGAUAAUAUAAAUUUUUGAGUAGCAUUUUUUGUCUUUUAACGUCAGGAUGUCUAUUAAGAGUGUAUGGUGUUGGA